AUACCAUAACAUACCAUAUUAAAAUGUUUUACGAAGUGCAAGGGCACAAAUUUGAAAGAAAAUGUGUCUGUUUUCCCACUUCCGCUUUUUUUUCUAACCACCCCGGUGACGUCAGUGCAGGGACUUAUCUGACAGACGCGCACUGUUUACAGUGGGGCAGAGGAGCUAAUAGCAGAACUGGUUGUUAGUUUUGGCGUAAUUUAUCAUCAUCUUGGUAUAUUAUUGCAUUUAUGGAAACUGCACAAACUCCAGCCUGUCAACAGAUCAAGUCCACAAGUUUCCUCUUGCUAUUUUGGUUCGUGAAAUGGGAUGAAUCCGAUAAGAGUGAUAGCUGACGCGAAUGGCGAGAAACACUCCUGGUUCAGUCGGAGAUGCAGCUCGGUAAGCUGUACACGACUUUGGGAGACAGAUUAUGACCCGGAGCUAAAGGCUUUCUCUCCACUGGCCUCUCGGUCAACUGUGCUUCACUUUGGCUCACAGAGUAACCUCAACUAAGAAUAUAUGCAUCAGCCCUCACUGCAUGUCUGACGGUGGACUACUGGAGGUCUUCACAGGCUCGACGAGAAUGCAGAAGUGGCCACUACAUUUGCUCUCCUUUCUAGAUCCUUCCAGCGGGUUUACAAGGAUGAGGCUGUCGGCAUCUUUUUACACAGCAUUCACAAUUUAACACACAUUAAAGACAUGAUGGUGUGGUACCCACAUAAACGUUGGCCAACUUACUGAAAAAUAAUGUUAGGUUUACUUUUAAAUGGGUCAGAUGAUAUAUUUUCCUUUCAGUAUACACACACUCACACAGAUACUUAUGCAUAUAUAAAGAGUAAAAAUGCUGGGUAUUAACACUGCUUAUGAUUUUGUGCUAUAUAAAUAAAACUUGAACUUGAGUUGCAUUUAGAAUUUGAA
This is a non-coding RNA of Danio rerio (zebrafish), 900 nucleotides long. Lineage: Eukaryota; Metazoa; Chordata; Actinopteri; Cypriniformes; Danionidae. The record is from RefSeq and is a predicted model, not a curated record.